AUACUUACCUUGCCUGACGUCGAGUUGAUCACGAAUAACUCGGCGUAGAGAGGGAAACCUGCAUUGCACAUCGCGGAGUUGACCUCUCUCGAUUGCCCUUCGGGGAGAUCGGGGGUGGAUUUUUUGGUUGCCCAUUGUUUUCAUUGUG
Molecule: small nuclear RNA, 148 nt
Filed under: Colletotrichum orbiculare MAFF 240422
Lineage: Eukaryota; Fungi; Ascomycota; Sordariomycetes; Glomerellales; Glomerellaceae
Description: U1 spliceosomal RNA
Rfam family: U1 spliceosomal RNA
About the family: U1 is a small nuclear RNA (snRNA) component of the spliceosome (involved in pre-mRNA splicing). Its 5' end forms complementary base pairs with the 5' splice junction, thus defining the 5' donor site of an intron.
Source: RNAcentral